AGCAGCCGCGGUAAUUCCAGCUCCAAUAGCGUAUAUUAAAGUUGUUGCAGUUAAAAAGCUCGUAGUUGAAUUUCGGGGUCAGUAGGUUGGUCGUGCCACGGGUAUGUACUGGUCUUACUGAUUCCUCCUUCCUGAUGAACCGUAAUGCCAUUAAUUUGGUGUUGCGGGGAAUCUGGACUGUUACUUUGAAAAAAUUAGAGUGUUUAAAGCAGGCUAACGCUUGAAUACAUUGGCAUGGAAUAAUGAAAUAGGACGAUCGAUCCUAUUUCGUGGUUUCUAGGAUUGACGUAAUGAUUAAUAGGGAUAGUUGGGGGCAUUAGUAUUCAAUUGUCAGAGGUGAAAUUCUUGGAUUUAUUGAAGACUAACUACUGCGAAAGCAUUUGCCAAGGAUGUUUUCAUUAAUCAAGAACGAAAGUUAGGGGAUCGAAGACGAUCAGAUACCGUCGUAGU
RNAcentral lists this ribosomal RNA (450 nucleotides) under uncultured Glomeromycotina. Its description in RNAcentral is "SSU rRNA". It matches the Rfam family "Eukaryotic small subunit ribosomal RNA", at positions 569 to 1024 of the family's 1831-position model. The record is from RNAcentral. Lineage: Eukaryota; Fungi; Glomeromycota.